RNAcentral lists this ribosomal RNA (114 nucleotides) under Centroberyx australis (yelloweye nannygai). RNAcentral describes it as "partial 16S ribosomal RNA". Lineage: Eukaryota; Metazoa; Chordata; Actinopteri; Beryciformes; Berycidae. The record is from RNAcentral.
CGAGAAGACCCUAUGGAGCUUUAGACACAAAGCAGCCCAAAUUAAACACCCUGAAAUCAAACAGAAAAAUCGAAUGGCCCCCUGCUCAAAUGUCUUUGGUUGGGGCGACCAAGG